RNAcentral lists this ribosomal RNA (137 nucleotides) under uncultured eukaryote. Its description in RNAcentral is "partial 18S ribosomal RNA". It matches the Rfam family "Eukaryotic small subunit ribosomal RNA", at positions 1299 to 1458 of the family's 1831-position model. The record is from RNAcentral.
UGGUGGGGUGACCUGUCUGCUUAAUUGCGAUAACGAACGAGACCUUAACCUGCUAAAUAGCCAGGCCGGCUUUGGCCGGUCGUCGGCUUCUUAGAGGGACUUUCGGCUCAAGCCGAAGGAAGUUUGAGGCAAUAACA